GAUGAACGCUGGCGGCGUGCCUAAUACAUGCAAGUCGAGCGAACAGACGAGGAGCUUGCUCCUCUGACGUUAGCGGCGGACGGGUGAGUAACACGUGGAUAACCUACCUAUAAGACUGGGAUAACUUCGGGAAACCGGAGCUAAUACCGGAUAAUAUAUUGAACCGCAUGGUUCAAUAGUGAAAGACGGUUUUGCUGUCACUUAUAGAUGGAUCCGCGCUGCAUUAGCUAGUUGGUAAGGUAACGGCUUACCAAGGCAACGAUGCGUAGCCGACCUGAGAGGGUGAGCGGCCACACUGGAACUGAGACACGGUCCAGACUCCUACGGGAGGCAGCAGUAGGGAAUCUUCCGCAAUGGGCGAAAGCCUGACGGAGCAACGCCGCGUGAGUGAUGAAGGUCUUCGGAUCGUAAAACUCUGUUAUUAGGGAAGAACAAAUGUGUAAGUAACUAUGCACGUCUUGACGGUACCUAAUCAGAAAGCCACGGCUAACUACGUG
RNAcentral lists this ribosomal RNA (497 nucleotides) under uncultured bacterium. Its description in RNAcentral is "partial 16S ribosomal RNA". It matches the Rfam family "Bacterial small subunit ribosomal RNA", at positions 28 to 507 of the family's 1533-position model. The record is from RNAcentral.